Molecule: ribosomal RNA, 429 nt
Filed under: Actinomycetes bacterium
Lineage: Bacteria; Bacillati; Actinomycetota; Actinomycetes
Description: Actinobacteria bacterium partial 16S ribosomal RNA
Rfam family: Bacterial small subunit ribosomal RNA
Source: RNAcentral
UAGGGAAUCUUCCGCAAUGGGCGAAAGCCUGACGGAGCAACGCCGCGUGAGUGAUGAAGGUCUUCGGAUUGUAAAACUCUGUUAUUAGGGAAGAACAAAUGUGUAAGUAACUAUGCACGUCUUGACGGUACCUAAUCAGAAAGCCACGGCUAACUACGUGCCAGCAGCCGCGGUAAUACGUAGGUGGCAAGCGUUAUCCGGAAUUAUUGGGCGUAAAGCGCGCGUAGGCGGUUUUUUAAGUCUGAUGUGAAAGCCCACGGCUCAACCGUGGAGGGUCAUUGGAAACUGGAGAACUUGAGUGCAGAAGAGGAAAGUGGGAUUCCAUGUGUAGCGGUGAAAUGCGCAGAGAUAUGGAGGAACACCAGUGGCGAAGGCGACUUUCUGGUCUGUAACUGACGCUGAUGUGCGAAAGCGUGGGGAUCAAACAGG